AAACAAAUAAAAAACAUGAAGAUAGAGAUAAACAACAGGCGGCCUUAUCGCUACAGAGCGAUCUCUUCCAGACAACCUUUAGGUAGUCCACUUUUAGUGUUUAGCAGUAACGCUUUGGUUUACUGCGACAUAAUGCAUAUUGCUUGUCUCAGCGAUAACUAGACAUGUAUAAAAUAGGAUGUUUUAUAUAAUAAACGGACUCUUACACCGACAACUGCCCUUUACUUAACUACUCCGUCACCCUGUUCCGCUCGUAACAUACACAAGUUCACUACGUUUAUUACAUGGCCACCCUCGCAAUUAAGGACCAACGGAAUCUGUAACCGAAGACUCAAGAAAGAAGCCCUGCACCAGUGGAUCCUAAAGAAGAAAUUUACGCAGUCAGACAGCCACAUAUUCAAGAAAGAAGACAGCCACAUAUUCAAGAAAGAAGAUCCUUACGAACGUAGAAACAAUGGCAGCACAAAUAACACUUCGCAUCAACGGCGUCAACAUCACCUUAAUGGGCCCUAUCACGAACCUCACCGUCACCGUCACGGGAGAUCAAGCAACCAUACAGAUCAACAACCAGUCACGGGAGACCAGUCAACUAUACAGAUCACGAGUCAAGAAGAACCCGGCGAACCACAGAUGAUGGACUACACAGCCAACCAGCCAGCCCAAGACUCAAGCAGUCAACGAGUCAGAAAGCAACCACAGAACACGAGACCACUGCCGAGGAGCCCCCACCCACGGACCAUUCAGGAAAUGCGCGAGAGGAGGCAACGCCUCUUCGGCCAGGAGCCGAACGCGGACCAGCGGUGACAGCAAGCCCUACAGGAACCGAUUCCACCGCCGCUACGCCAGCCGUGUCAGCACGCAGGACUAGGACGAGGAAGAGGACGACUUGCCGACCAUAACUCAUCACCAGGACCCACCACGGAAUUAAGGAAAUAAGGGUACAAUUAUUUUUUUUAUAUACAUAGGUAUUGUUUUAAAAAUGUUAAAUUAACAAAUUAUUAUUAUCAUUUUUGCAUUUCAAAUAAACGAGUUGUCGCUGAA
Cydia pomonella (codling moth) is the source of this 1041-nucleotide long non-coding RNA. RefSeq lists it as uncharacterized. The record is from RefSeq and is a predicted model, not a curated record. The transcript has 2 exons. Lineage: Eukaryota; Metazoa; Arthropoda; Insecta; Lepidoptera; Tortricidae.